RNAcentral lists this ribosomal RNA (253 nucleotides) under uncultured bacterium. Its description in RNAcentral is "partial 16S ribosomal RNA". It matches the Rfam family "Bacterial small subunit ribosomal RNA", at positions 524 to 776 of the family's 1533-position model. The record is from RNAcentral.
UACGGAGGGGGCAAGCGUUGUCCGGAUUUACUGGGCGUAAAGCGCGCGCAGGCGGUCGUUCAAGUCGAGUGUGAAAGCCCCCGGCUCAACUGGGGAGGGUCACUCGAUACUGAUCGACUUGAAGGCAGAAGAGGGAAGCGGAAUUCCCGGUGUAGUGGUGAAAUGCGUAGAUAUCGGGAGGAACACCAGUGGCGAAGGCGGCUUUCUGGUCUGUUCUUGACGCUGAGGCGCGAAAGCUAGGGUAGCAAACGGG